GUGGGGAAUCUUAGACAAUGGGCGCAAGCCUGAUCUAGCCAUGCCGCGUGAGUGAUGAAGGCCCUAGGGUUGUAAAGCUCUUUCAGCUGGGAAGAUAAUGACGGUACCAGCAGAAGAAGCCCCGGCUAACUCCGUGCCAGCAGCCGCGGUAAUACGGAGGGGGCUAGCGUUGUUCGGAAUUACUGGGCGUAAAGCGCGCGUAGGCGGACUGAAAAGUUGGGGGUGAAAUCCCGGGGCUCAACCUCGGAACUGCCUUCAAAACUAUCAGUGUGGAGUUCGAGAGAGGUGAGUGGAAUUCCGAGUGUAGAGGUGAAAUUCGUAGAUAUUCGGAGGAACACCAGUGGCGAAGGCGGCUCACUGGCUCGAUACUGACGCUGAGGUGCGAAAGCGUGGGGAGCAAACAGGAUUAGAAACCCUUGUAGUCC
RNAcentral lists this ribosomal RNA (425 nucleotides) under uncultured bacterium. Its description in RNAcentral is "partial 16S ribosomal RNA". It matches the Rfam family "Bacterial small subunit ribosomal RNA", at positions 354 to 796 of the family's 1533-position model. The record is from RNAcentral.